UACGUAGGGGGCUAGCGUUGUCCGGAAUCAUUGGGCGUAAAGAGCGCGUAGGCGGCCAGAUAAGUCCGGUGUGAAAGUCAAAGGCUCAACCUUUGAAUGCCGCUGGAAACUGUCUGGCUAGAGUCCGGGAGGGGCGAGUGGAAUUCCUGGUGUAGCGGUGAAAUGCGCAGAUAUCAGGAGGAACACCAAUGGCGAAGGCAGCUCGCUGGAACGGUACUGACGCUGAGGCGCGAAAGCAUGGGUAGCGAACAGG
RNAcentral lists this ribosomal RNA (253 nucleotides) under uncultured bacterium. RNAcentral's name for it is "partial 16S ribosomal RNA". It matches the Rfam family "Bacterial small subunit ribosomal RNA", at positions 524 to 776 of the family's 1533-position model. The record is from RNAcentral.